Molecule: ribosomal RNA, 253 nt
Filed under: uncultured bacterium
Lineage: Bacteria
Description: partial 16S ribosomal RNA
Rfam family: Bacterial small subunit ribosomal RNA
Source: RNAcentral
UACAGAGGUGGCAAGCGUUGUUCGGAAUUACUGGGCGUAAAGGGCGCGUAGGCGGGAUGGCAAGUCGGUCGUGAAAUCCUUCGGCUCAACCGAAGAACGUCGGCCGAUACUGCCGUUCUUGAGGGAUGCAGAGGAGAUUGGAAUUCCCGGUGUAGCGGUGAAAUGUGUAGAGAUCGGGAGGAACACCGGUGGCGAAGGCGGGUCUCUGGGCAUCUCCUGACGCUGAGGCGCGAAAGCGUGGGGAGCAAACGGG